AGGAUCUUCUUGGCCGAGGCCGCGGGUCCAGUGGCAGAAGAAGAGGAGGCCAUGGAGCGCACGAACUGUCGGGUGACAAAAGCCAUGUUCUAGCAGCAGGAGUUAUUUUCCAGAGUGGCUUGGAGAGACUUACAUGAACUGAUGCUAAGUAAAAUGAGCAGAACCAGGAGAUCAUUAUAUAUUUCAACAACAAUACUAUAUGAGGAUGUAUUCUGAUGGAAGUGGAUUUCUUUGACAAAGAGAAGAUCUAACUCAUUUUCAAUUGAUCAAGGAUGGACAGAAGCAGCUAUACCCAAAGAAAGAACACUGGAAAAUGAAUGUAAACUGUUUGCAUUUUGGUUUUUCUUCCCAGGUUAUUUUUACCUUCUGAAUCCAAUUCUUCCUGUUCAACAAGAGAACUGUUCAGUUCUGCACACAUAUAUUGUAUCUAGGAUAUACUGUGACAUAUUUAACAUGUAUAGGACUGCUUGCCAUCUGGGGGAGGGGGUAGAAGGAGGGAGGCAUAAAAUUGGAACAGAAGUGAGUGCAAGGGACAAUGUUCAAGGCUCUAUCAAUAAAAAGUUAUAAUUAUUAAAAAAAAAAAAAGAAAGCCAUUUAUGGAAAAAGAACCCAAUAAAAAAAAUAAAGGAGUCAUUUUCUUUUUCUGUUUCACCAA
This is a long non-coding RNA of Antechinus flavipes (yellow-footed antechinus), 655 nucleotides long. RefSeq lists it as uncharacterized. Lineage: Eukaryota; Metazoa; Chordata; Mammalia; Dasyuromorphia; Dasyuridae. The transcript is spliced from 2 exons. The record is from RefSeq and is a predicted model, not a curated record.